RNAcentral lists this long non-coding RNA (996 nucleotides) under Durio zibethinus. Its description in RNAcentral is "long non-coding RNA (DZIB_LNC001243)". Lineage: Eukaryota; Viridiplantae; Streptophyta; Magnoliopsida; Malvales; Malvaceae. The record is from RNAcentral.
UUAAUCACAGGGAAAACUCCAUUCAACAGAGGGAAUUAUAUUAUAAAAAAACAUGCAAGCACACACAAAGAAGGACAUGGCAAUACUAAGAGCAAAAUAGAGAAUCACACAGAAAACAACAGCACACACAGCGAGAAUUACACAGAAAAAUAAGUGUCCAGAAGAGAAAAUACAGAGAAAAACCCGGCAACAAUUACAUAGAAAACAACACCGCCAUUGUUGAAAACCUUUUCCUCCAUCCGAGCCACCACUUCACCACCAAAAUCCAACACCAUUGUUGUUGAAACUCAAACCCAACCACAAUUCCAGCUACAACCUAAUUCCUUGCAAACCAACUUCCAGAAAGCAAAAAUCUAAAGUUUCAACAAGCCAUUAACAGUACAUUUCCAACAAUCUUAACCACCUGAAAAUUUUCAGACUCCACAAUAAACAACAGCAGCAGCAGAACCAAAAAGCACGCAUCAAAACAUCAAAACAGACGCUACAAUCGCCCUCCACAUAACCCAAUUCUGCCAUCAUCAUCAACCUCUUGCCAAGUAUCCAUUAACUGUCAGUAGACCAAGAAAAAAAAAGCAAAACCAAGUCAGAAACAAAAGAACUAGAAACAGAAAGAAAAAAGGAGAAAAGAAAGGACGUCUUCCUGGGUUUAGUUUGGUUCUCUUCAAGACGUUUUUGGAGCUUCAAAAUUUGUAACGAGGCAGCCAAGGGUCUGAGGAACAACAUACCUUGGAGCUUCAAGUCACUGGAGUGCGAUUUUGGAAAUCCCGUACCUAUAUCCAAGACCAGGGAACCUAGACAAACUCGUGGAGACCUUUUGAAAAUCUUUUGGUUUUCGGCAGACGGUCGACACACGGCGGUGUGUGGCGCUGCCGGGAUCUGGAAACCCUUGAAGUUUCCGGCCUGAGUUUAUCCUGCUAAUGAGAGAUUAGAGAAGCAGAGCUAAAUUUUUAGUGAGAGAGAAGAAACUGAAAAAUGAAGAGAACGGCUUUGAAAAAG